Long non-coding RNA from Oreochromis aureus, 1572 nucleotides. The record is from Ensembl. NCBI's taxonomy places the organism in Eukaryota, Metazoa, Chordata, Actinopteri, Cichliformes, Cichlidae.
UGGUUUUUAAACCAAACAACUGUCUCUGUGCAUUACAAAAUAACGUUAAUUAUUAUAGGUUAAUAAAAAAAUAAUUUAGUUUAUCCCCCACAUUUACGACAAUUUAGCAGGCGCGUGUAACCAUGGUAACGAGUUAUUUUACGGCACAACUGCAACCCGCGCUACCGAAUGAAAGAUACUAGCUUCCAACAUGAUUUGGCGUUGCUUUCUAUGCUACGUGUUUGUAGCAUUGAGUCUGAGACAACUUUUGAGUCACAUUAAUACCAUGCACAGCCUCAGCCCUGACUUUCGCGUGGUGUGUGGAAUUGACGGCUGUCCGAGUGAGUACAGAGUAUAUAACUCCUUCUACUAUCACGUAAAGCGGACACGCGCGCAUCACCUUCUCGGAGUGGAAGCGGAUGAGGAGGAAGGAUCAACCCGCCACGGUUUACCUGAAGCAGGUGAAAGGACGGCCCCAAUCAACCAAACUAACGCCAGUUCUUCAGUAACUGACGAGGGCUCAAGCAUCCCCGCACUAACGAGUGGAUUUCAAGAAGAUGGAGAGGGUCACCUGAAUCUUGACAUUUAUAAACAUGCAACUGCAUUUCUUCUUCAAGCCAAGGAAACUCAUCGACUGACACAGAGAGCUGUUAACCACAUCGUGAGUGGAGUCCAGCAAUACCAGGCCGUAUUAUUGGAGCACCUAAAACAACAAAUGAGUGACAUGAUUGAGAGACAUUCUGGGGACCUGGAUCAACUAAAGAGUGAUGCAAUAGGGGUAUUUGACCAGUUUGUUGACCCUUUCACUCAAAUUGCUUCCACCCAUUUGCAGGACAAGACCAUCAAAGAACUGUUAAAACCAGUUGAACCAGAGAUUAUUGUCACAAAACAAACAGUCUGUUAUUCGAAGCGUGGAGACUCCAGAGUUCUUGCCAUUAAGGACCAUUGUUUUCAUUACAUACCGUUGGUGAAAAGUUUGGAGCAGCUGCUAUCACAUGUAGUUUCACAUGUAGAACAUGUAGUUUCUGUACAGUGGAUUAUGCUACAUGGAAAUAAGCAUUCAUGUGAAAAAUCUUUGGUUAUUUCUGAUGUCAUAAAUGAUGCUCCAGAGUUUGCACUUGUUAAAAACAUCUAUAUUGUAAAUGCAUCUGUGUAUUGCUUUGAAUGCCAGCCUCUCUCUACAGUUGGGUGGAAAGAUCAGUAUUUAGCUUAUGAGGUAGAAGUUCCCUGUCUAGCUCAGGCAAAUAUUUUUGUGGAUGCUGGAAAUCUUGUUGAUUAUACAGCAUACCACUAUGUAAACUUUAAUAAUUCCAGUGAAGUAUGAUCUCACUGACAUCAUCAAACAUCAUUCUUGAGUCUUUUGUGAAUAUGUGGGCUGAAAUAAUGUUUUUAAACACUGGCAAAAAAUUUAUUGUUCUAUUUACUUUUUAUUUUACUUUUGGCGCAAUCUGUUCAGUGCAACACAACUGAGAGGGAAACAAUUUCAGUGUUUUGCCUCUUUCAAUGUCACAUUGAUAUGGUUUGACUGGUAUGUAAGAAAAAUAAAUACACUGUGCUUAAGAUACUAAGACUCAUAAUAAUGCAAUGUUGGGC